AACACACCAUUAUUGGUGGAUGCAUGUCUGAAACUGGGUCAGAGAAUACAUUCAGUUAUUGCUCUGAAUAUACGCGGAUAUUUAAAGUGCAUGGCAGAUUUAAUAAUUGUUAUGGAUAACCUCCAGCAGUAAGAAAUAUAAAGGCUCACUGCAGUUUUGAGUGCUCAACAAGUAUUGACCCCAUACUAUGCUCAGCAAGUAGGGCCCUUGUAUUUCUGUAAAUCCUCAUACAGUACAGUACUGCUGUUGGAAGAGGAGCAAACAGCGUGGUAUCUAUGGUCCACCAUCACUUCAAGCAUCAUGGCUAUGGAGAAAAGAAUGUUUCAUUACAUAUGGACAAUUAUAGUGGACAAAAUAAGAAAAGUGUUAUAAUAAGCUAUGGAAUGUGGCUUGUUAUGAUGGGUCUAAAUGAUGACUUGGAGUACAAACUGAUUGAGACCCGGCAUACAGAAUUCAGUCCUAAAAUGUUUAGAAUGUCUUCUGCAUGACCUGGUAUAGUAUACUUGAAGGAUUAUAACUUAAACACAGAGACGGUGAUUAAUAUUUUUAGGCAGGGGGUUGGCAUGACAGGCAAAUUCACCAACUGUAUUACCAUUCCUGAGUUGGAUGCCAGUCGACAGUGGUACCUGUAUAAUGAAAUAGCGCCCCUUUGCAGCAACAGCAAUGUAUGCUCAAAACCAGCAGGUCAAAGCCAUUAAAAUUG
Mercenaria mercenaria is the source of this 703-nucleotide long non-coding RNA. RefSeq lists it as uncharacterized. NCBI's taxonomy places the organism in Eukaryota, Metazoa, Mollusca, Bivalvia, Venerida, Veneridae. The record is from RefSeq and is a predicted model, not a curated record. The transcript is spliced from 5 exons.